GGGGCCGUGGCUCAGUGGUGGAGCAUCUGCUUUGUGCGCAGAAGGGCCCAGGUUCAAUCCCUGGCAGCUCCA
Molecule: non-coding RNA, 72 nt
Organism: Euleptes europaea (tarantolino)
Lineage: Eukaryota; Metazoa; Chordata; Lepidosauria; Squamata; Sphaerodactylidae
Source: the annotation of a RefSeq genome assembly